AGAGAAAAUGUGCAUAUUUUCUAAAGGUCUCUUGAUCAAAACCUCUGCCCCCAUCGUUGUGAACCUCACACAUAGCUCUAGCUUUUCUUUCUGAACUCAUUAGGAACUCGCCUUUCAUCUCAUAAUAAUCUUGUCCGUCUAUGACAAACAAAGUGUUUUUUGUUUUAAAUUCAUGAAUUCUUUUAGAUUACUGGGUAUGAAUCGAACUCUGAAUGUGCUACAGCCACGAAACCACUCUAUCGCGCGAGGGCUGCAGGAGCUUCUGAAGCGCGCAGAAAGUGGAGCACGGAGAACACAACGCACGCAUGCUCAUCUAUGAUGUUGCUCAGAUUAUUGCAAUCGAUUUUCAUUACUGAACUCGGAGACAAACACACUUCACAAGAUAUGCCUACUCUAUUUCUCCGGAGCUAAAAUCCUGUCAUGAGCAGUAGUUUACACAUUUUCGAAAUAGAGACGCAUAAAUAGGACACAACGUGAGGAAGACUAGGCAGCCAAACCAACCGUGAGUGAGACAACAUUUGGUCACAAUUUGAAAAUUCAAACAUUCGAACUCGAAAAGGGGGCAGGGUACGUUUUCUGAACCCGUCCAAAACGAUGGAGUUACAUAACUUCAGAAAACAACGCCAGUUUGUGGGCAAGGCAAGCCCACUAGAUGCUAAUCAACCAAGGGGCACACACACCCCUCUAUCGUCAACGCCCCCUCCACAAUCUCCCUCCCGGAUAGGUCCAGGCAGAGAUGGAAAAAACAACAACAAGGGCUUUAAAAACAUCCACAUUGUUCCGUCCAUCAGUAACAUCUGGUCAUCCAACCGGGGUACUGUGGCUACAUUCUCCUGUUUUCCGGCGCAUUUUUUAUUCUCCUCCAUCUCCGGGGAGGACAGAAAUCAAAGUUUAUAGUUCUUUCUUGCGUGAACCCAAAACGCGAACAUGCCCAGCAAGAGGAAGAAGAACAAGCGCCGCAUGAGAAGGGUGGCCAUACUCAUUCCUGAGGCCCCUGUGUCAGCUCUUGCUGAAUUUAAGGUCCAGGUCGAAAACUACGUAGUCAUUACCACAGAGAUCGCACAGACUCAUGACGAGCCGUGGCUCGAGGCUGAAGUGGAGGCUGAAAUAGUUGACGAGGUCCAAGCGAAAGUAGAGGCAGUAGUUGAGGAAGAACCAGAGCCCGAUCCCGUGGUCAAGGCCGAAGCUGCCCCAGUUGUAGAAGCUGAACUUGAAGAGUCGGGAAUCAAAGACGGAGACAAUCCUAUCGUCAAAGCUGAAGCCAUUCCUGAAGAUAUUGAUGCAGAAAAGCAUGAGACUGUUAUGACAGAGGCACCUGAAGAGGUUCCAGUGGAGACAGAAAUUAUCCCAGAAAAGCUGUGGAAGCCCGUGGAAGCACUGGUCAAAGAAGCCCCCGUAGCCGAGGUCGCUCCAGCAGAGCUCCUCGUGGAGCCCCCAGUAGACCCUGUCAUCAACAUAAUGGCUGACUUUGCCAUCACAGAAUCUGUUCCCGUUGUGGAGGCAGCCAUGGCUGAACAGGUGCCCGCAGUCCCAACGGAUUCACUUGACGCCCUAUCGGAGUUGCUGAACGACAUCACUCUAGUCACUGAGCCCGCCCCUGUCACAGCUGAUAAAGUCAUUGACGCUAAAGAGGAAAUUGAAGCCCAGAUGGAAAUCGAGGCUAAAAAGGAUGCCAUAGAUGAGAAGACAGUCCUUCACGUCAUCUCUGGAGAUUUAUCUGCCCCCGACCCUGUCAUCUCAGAACUGCAGUGUCACACGCAGCUCGCCGCCCCCAAGGAUAUCCCAGCAGAGGCAGUGCUAAAUGGACAGAUGGCAGCUGAGGUGGCCAUUGAGGGAUAGAUCUCUAUGGAUUUCCUUAGUCAGUAUGAAGGACUGAAGAGAGCCUGACGGUGAGCCGACCAGCGAACUUUACUUUUCAUUUUUUAGGGCUUAAAGGGACCGCUGGGAAAUUUGACAGACAUCCAACAAUCAGUGCCUUUCUUGCUUGGGUUCUUACAAAAAAAAUAUUAAACAAGUUUAAAAUGCGAUAUGAAGGUGGGGGAAUAAGACUCUUUUUUUAAAAACCAGAAUGUGAGAAUUUGGAAUAAACAAAUGAUGGCUUUCAUAGAUUUCUGUAUCCCAUUGCAUGUAUUGUAGAUUUGCAUCAAUUGUAAAUGGCAUGCAUUGUGUAUGAAUACUGUAGAAUUGAUGAAUGUGGCAAUGGCUUGUCUUCACAUUUGGACCAUGUUUGUAUGGAUGAGAGGGAUUAAUUCCUUGUACAUGUUUCCUGUUUUAACCUGGUUUGACUCCUUUUUGCGAAGGGACAGUAUCGCAGUUUGUACAGUACCAUAGCUACCCCCUCUUCUCCCUAUCACCAUUGUGGUACUUUUGUUUUUUCAGGGACUGUAUGAUGACAGCUCCACCCUCUUUAUUGUGUAGUGUCAGUGUGUCUACAGUCCCAAGUCUGUCCUGGGCAAUGUGAAAUGGUGUGUAGUUUUAGGUCCUCUGACCAGAUGCUCUUAACAUUUAAUUACCUACGCUGCCAACUGAAAACAGAGUACGGGGCCUGUAGAUCCUGUUUUUCUAAUUCUGUUUUGUAUAGACCAUAUGAUGUGGUACAACCGCUGUUUGUGUUCAGUUACGUGCUUUGGAAGAGACCAUGGAGUUGUCAUGUAAUUGAGGAGCUGGGUUGGAUUUCAUUCACCUUUUUGAAUAAAGAUGUUACUCACCAAGUCCUUGAUUCAGUUGUUGGCCUGUGUUCUACAUUCCUUAG
RNAcentral lists this long non-coding RNA (2752 nucleotides) under Salmo trutta (river trout). RNAcentral describes it as "lncRNA (ENSSTUG00000019288.1)". Lineage: Eukaryota; Metazoa; Chordata; Actinopteri; Salmoniformes; Salmonidae. The record is from RNAcentral.